This 502-nucleotide ribosomal RNA is filed under the name uncultured bacterium. RNAcentral's name for it is "bacterial SSU rRNA". It matches the Rfam family "Bacterial small subunit ribosomal RNA", at positions 9 to 526 of the family's 1533-position model. The record is from RNAcentral.
GAGUUUGAUCAUGGCUCAGGACGAACGCUGGCGGCGUGCUUAACACAUGCAAGUCGAGCGAUGAAGCUUCCUUCGGGAAGUGGAUUAGCGGCGGACGGGUGAGUAACACGUGGGCAACCUGCCUCAAAGAGGGGAAUAGCCCUCCGAAAGGAGGAUUAAUACCGCAUAAAGUUAGAGUUUCGCAUGAAACUUUAACCAAAGGAGUAAUCCGCUUUGAGAUGGGCCCGCGUCCCAUUAGCUAGUUGGUAGGGUAAUGGCUUACCAAGGCAACGAUGGGUAGCCGACCUGAGAGGGUGAUCGGCCACAUUGGAACUGAGACACGGUCCAGACUCCUACGGGAGGCAGCAGUGGGGAAUAUUGCGCAAUGGGGGAAACCCUGACGCAGCAACGCCGCGUGGGUGAUGAAGGUUUUCGGAUCGUAAAACCCUGUUUUCUGGGACGAUAAUGACGGUACCAGAUGAGGAAGCCACGGCUAACUACGUGCCAGCAGCCGCGGUAAUAC